RNAcentral lists this small nucleolar RNA (75 nucleotides) under Helianthus annuus (common sunflower). RNAcentral's name for it is "Small nucleolar RNA snoR64a". It matches the Rfam family "Small nucleolar RNA snoR64a". Lineage: Eukaryota; Viridiplantae; Streptophyta; Magnoliopsida; Asterales; Asteraceae. The record is from RNAcentral.
AUUGUUUAUUGUUGAGUUGAAAACUCGAAUUCAUAUGGGUAUUGUGAUUCUACUCUGAAUAGGAAGAUAUGAUGC